Molecule: transfer RNA, 76 nt
Filed under: Aminivibrio sp.
Lineage: Bacteria; Thermotogati; Synergistota; Synergistia; Synergistales; Aminobacteriaceae
Also listed under: 2 other names
Description: tRNA-Lys
Rfam family: tRNA
About the family: Transfer RNA (tRNA) molecules are approximately 80 nucleotides in length.
Source: RNAcentral
GGACUGUUAGCUCAGUUGGCAGAGCAGCUGACUCUUAAUCAGCGGGUCGUGGGUUCGAAUCCCUCACAGUCCACCA